Molecule: unclassified non-coding RNA, 549 nt
Filed under: Carex longipes
Lineage: Eukaryota; Viridiplantae; Streptophyta; Magnoliopsida; Poales; Cyperaceae
Description: partial external transcribed spacer 1
Source: RNAcentral
AGCCGGCGCGUCAGCUCCAGCACCAGCCCGGACGGGCAGGCCUUCGCUUGACGCAGACCGGAAAUCGCUGCUCAUACGAUCGGAGAGGCAUUCCACGUGCACGAGACCACGCUCCGGACACUAAUGUUCGCUAUCUUGCUGUCAAUGACAACGCGAAAGAACACGAUCUGCGUGUCGCCACCGGCAACACGACAAACGGCGUAUAAGAGCAGUGAUUCGUACAAGGGACCUCCCGAAAUCUGCGGGACAAAAGCUCCGCAGAUCUAAGCACUAGGCACCGCAUCCGUGAGAGCCAGCAAAAAUACUAGUGAUAGCCACACGRAAUUCAACCGCGCGCCAACACAAGAAUUUUGCCAACAUUUCGGCUGCCCAAACGACAGAAAAAUGUCAGAUGGGCAAGCAAAUAUCCAUCAAGGGACGACUUCGCUACCCACAAGAGGGUAGAACCGCACAGGCAACCGAUCGGAAGCAUCCCAACCACGACACGUUCAAUGACGGGAGGGAGAGUGAAGAGACAGCCCCAUGUUCGGUUGGCCGCACCAAAAGUGC